CGAAGCGGUCUAUUCUAAGUGGUCCAUUGGGUAAGCAGCAGAGGUAAUAGGUCGUCUCCAUUUCCGUAGCGGCUACGGUUUCCCUGUCUUUUCUAAACUAACAGAAUCUUGGGCUCUUCCUUGGGAAUUUCGUCUUGGAUUCGAUGUGCACUCGGCUCGUUCAAUUCUGAGGACACCGGGAAUGGAGUCAAUCUUCGUUAGCGGAAGCAACUACUUUGAAGAAAGAAGAAAGGCUUCCUUCUCUCUAGCUUUCGAUGGGCGGGAUGGGACUGUAAAAUGAGGUUGUUGGUUGAUCUUCUGGUCAAUGGGAGUGCUGUCUUCUUGGUUGAAUCAGAAUCCUAUAAGAAUAUGCAUCCAGGAAUCUCGAUGUUCUAUAUCCUACUACUUCUUUCACCAGGAAAUCCACGAGAGGAGAUAGGUGCUUUCUUCUUUCCGCUUUAGCGAAUCUCUGCUCGCCCUGAAAGCUAUAGUAUACUUUUUAGCAUGAAAGGCCUUUCCUAUCAUUAGCGCAGUUCAAGGACAAUAUGGUCUUUCUAUAGCUUUCACGUGGCAAUCGACCUUGAGCAACGGAUUCUGUACCAGCAAUCCUUUUUCGUUUAUUGGGGGACUGAAAAGGUUUUGUCAAGCAGGCAUGAUUGUCACGUCGAUCGACAGUUGAGAAAUCCUAUCUCCGGGGCCCUCACUUUAGGGCUAUCUUUCACCGUAAGGCUUCACUACUCGUUCGCUUGAGGGGUUCAGUUGUUAGUGGACUAGCGCUUCUCCUUGUCCCCUUUCUGCAUUCGCGCAUGACCUAAACUAUACCUCUUCUAAGGCAGAAAGAAGGUCAACCUCAGGUAAUCACACCUUUCUUUCUCGACGAUCAAAGAGUAAAAACUAGCUUUCGAGCUAACCAACCAUGGAGCUACCAGCCAACAAGCAAAACGAGUUCUCAUUCACGGAUAACUAAGCUUUGACAAGGGAGAGGGGGACCCUUCUCAUACCCGCCCUUACAGGAGCCUAACGGAGAAAAGGCUAUGCCCAGCAGUUAUUCUGGAAUAGGGGAAGACUGCGGUAAAAGGAUGUCCGUCUGUUGAUGGCUAGCUCGUACAAGCAAAUCGGAUUUGGACCUAGGUUUGUUGAUGGAUCUGGUCUUGUCGAACAGGUCCGGAUUCGAGGUUCGAAGACAAAAGCCCACUAGCCGAGCUGAACUGGUUAGUGAUGGAAGCAAUUCCCACGAACUGAGAACAAAAGGAUGUACUUGCCCCCUUCCCCAGCCAUUACCGCUCAUCCACCGCUUUAAAUUAGAUUAUGAAAUCCUGUCUUUAUCUUUCCAGGCUGUCUUUUGCGUGCUAUUCCUUACGCCCUGAGAAAGAACCUCCACUUUUGUCCAUACUAGCUCUCCUCUAUGUCCCGGUCAAGCGUAGUCUAAUAGAACUUGACUAAAAUUAGAGGAAAUAAGUAUGAUCUAGAAGAGGGUUCCACAGGCGAUGAGGAGUAAUUGAUGGGGCCAUUGCUUCUAUGUGUAUUCCCCAUAAAAGGAGUCCCCUUAGGCGACGGCAAGAAUAUAUUAAUAUCCCUCAUCAAAAGGGCAAGCGCAAAGCAUAAGACUGCCCGCUCCACCACGUGCAUAAACUAAUUAUCUCAUGAUAGGCCAAAGCGUGACCUUUUUUCUGGCCAAACUCUGUGACAGGGAUAUAAAAAAAAAGGGUGUAAUCCCGAUUUAUCUAAAGCGCUACGUCUUUUCCCGGCCAUCAUGCAUCGCUCCAACCUCCUAUUGCCACAGCCUUCAAUCAAAUAAAAGCAAAAAAUAUCAAUAGGGACCUUACUGCCGUUCCCAGCUUAAGCGUCUACACCUCCCAACAAAGUGAAUGUACCUUAUGGAACCUCCGAUAGGGACUUGGAUGAGGCCCGCCGACCUUCUCCACCUGCUCUGUAGAUGGAACCUUCGUAGAGCUACCACUUUCGAUAAUCAUUUUGGUCUUUUUGCCCCGGCCAAGGGCACACCACAUUCGAAAGAGAUCCCUCAGACUCCAGUCCUACCCCGUCUUCUUAGGAUUAAGGUUGCAGCACAGUUUAAUGUAGAAGUGGCUAUGAUUGCAAAGAGCAGACGAUAUUUAUUAUAAUAAGAUCAGAGUUGAGAGCACUGCUAGAAAGAUAAAGAUGGCGAUAAGAGAUUCGUUCUGUCUUUCUUCACUUCUGAUCUUUAUCUAUGAUAUUAACUUUAACUUGAAGACGAGUCUUAUUCAUAACUAUAAAGCAGAUCGAAAGAAGCAUAGGUAGACUUCACACUAACCCAAUCCAGAUAAACAACUUUUAUCGGAACCCAGCUUCUCUUUUUUAGCGAAUAAAGAUUGAAGUCGCUCUUAGACUAUAUUUUAAAUCUUUAUAAUUUAUCAUAUGAAAGAAGGAGAAAGGGGGCUGCUACUGCAACCAAGCAAUUGGUGCAGACGCUCUACGAUGCAAUCAGACAAUGAGAGAGCGGACUCUCUUUCUCUAAGGGACACUUCCUCAUUUUAUUCCACCCCCUUUCGUCGGUUCCAGUAAUAAUGAAUGGGAGGGGGAGUACCAUGUAGUUAGGAAGAUGAUCGAUGCCUAAAGCAUGUCUACUUAAGAUCUCUAUCCUUUCUGGUGAUAAAGAUAUCCCAAGAAGAGAGACCUGACGGCGCGCCUUUACUAGAAGAGAAGGAAAGAAGACACUUACUAGAAAUCUAUUCCACCGGAAGACUACCGCUGGAUUUAUCUCUGUCCACAUCCAUGACUCACCCACCUUUCCAUCCCCCCUCAAAGAUCCACCCGAUCGAUGAAGACUUGAACCGAACUCGCAGUGAUCAAAUCUACUUUGGAGAGUAAAUCCUCAGGGCAAGCCAAAGGAAGGACGGGAGAAGCAGGGCUCUAAGACAGGCUGAAGGCAGAGAAGGAUAGACGAGACAAGGAAGCAAAGGAGAAAAGAAAGAUCGGAAUAGAAGAGAGGUAACGGUUGAACGAACGGUAGACCCAACUCUGUAUACUUAGCCGGAAGCAGGGCAUUCCACCGAUUCCACUUAGGGAUAUAGCCUUUCCCGUAUCUAUUUUUACCUUAUCUGCAAAUUUAUAUCCGGUAGACUUGGUAAGGUCAAAGGGCCCCGACUUAUUUGAUUUCCAGAAUUAGAGUUCGACCGCUGCUGCCCCUUUUUUGUUUUGGGGGGAUCAAGUUCCUUGCCAACUAUCGACCCCGAUCUCUUUUCAUUUCUUUAUUUUGGGUAUUACUAGCCUAGCCUUCGUCAAUCACACUAAAGAGCAGAGCACCCAACUAUGGCAAGGCCCCCUUAAGGCUUAGGUUAGUCAAUCCGGCCCGAGACCAGAUCGACUAAAGGCGUUGACAAAACCGCCGUAGGGUAGGAAUGGAGACCUUUCAAUAGAGCGGAGGCGAACUGAUCAACGAGAAAGAGGCCCUACUCACUACAAACGAAUACACCACAAGAUCGAACUGCACUCAUGCCUCUCCCGCAUUUGCCCUAGACAGAUCAUUGCCCACCUACGUAGUUCUUCUAUCAAUCAUGUACGUAGGUAGGGUCCUCCAUUCUGAUUGGUAUAUCAUGAAAAAAGAAAGCAAGCCAUUUGCACCAGGCGCACUGCGCUUUCCCUUGCCUAGAUGUUCGCCUUUCUAAGUCAAGUAAUGGUGACCCGCCGAAGACUGGAGCCUCAUAACAUGUUGACGAAGACCCCCGAACUGAGGGUUCGAUCAGUAGAGGGGACGACUUUACCUCCCCGGAUUCGGAAUCGGAAUCGGAAGAAGAAUAGCCCCGCUCUCUAGCCGCCCUUCCUUAACAAGUCCCGUUGAUCAUAUAACUGGGAGGGAACGUGUCACAUUAGAGGUGAACGAUCAGAGAUGUCCGAUAAUUACCACGAUUCGGAAUCGGAAGAGGCUGGUCCCUCUUUAAUUUUAGUAGACUAAGCUAUGAAUAUGAAUGAAGAAAUGAAUGAAUGCCGGGCUCUUUCUUUCACUGCUAACCCCAAUACAAAAAGUUUCUUAAUGCUGAUCUUUUCUCUUUCGUCGAGCCCCUGCGGUUGCUUGUGGUCCUCCUUUGAGUGUGGGUUCCAUUGGAUGAAUCUCUCAAGUCAAGGUUCACGUACAUAGCAGCAAGAAUAGAAUGGUGCAGCGCCUAUUUAUCGUUCUCGCUCGGGAGCCAAAACGAAGACGCCUGCUACCUACUGUACUGGACCUUCGACCAGGCAUUCUACCCUUGUCGAAUCGGAACCAACCACCCCCUAUGUGCCGAUCGCUUGCGCUCGAACAGUUGAGCGGCCGCCGGCCAGCAACUUCCGUACCGUACACAGAUAUAUAUUCAUUAUUCGUACCUGGUCCAACUUCACAACCCUUCGCGGGUUGGUCAGAAGUCAGUCUUGUUUGGUAAUACUCUAUUGGACAAAGCAAAGAAAAUAGAGUGCUCGACCGGAACAACGGCCAACAAAGACCGUAAUUACAUAGAUAACAGCUCCUCCCUUUCUCCGUCUUUAAUUAAGGCUUUCAGGCGAACCGUAUGGCGGACGGAAAGACGACCUCACCUUCUCGUAGAUGGUGCCUUCAUUGUCUAUCCAAAGGAGAGCAACUUGAGUAUCCCCCGUUGACCUUCUUUUGUAGAUAGAAUCUUCAAUGAGUGGAAAGAAGCAACCUUACUAAACUAAGAAAGGUGCGCUUCUUGAGUAAGGCCGUUUUCUUGCAGGAGUGCUAACGCGCGCCCUUAUUCUAUUCUUCGCUUGCUCCGCAGUACGAGCCUCAUACAGAGCUGCGCCCCUUUAAUAGGAUGAGGAGAAGAGGGGCCGCCCUCUUUUCUGCACCAAUCUUUAUAUACAACUAUAUUUAUAUCUUUUUUGGGGUGUAUAGCUCAGUUGGUAGAGCAUUGGGCUUUUAACCUAAUGGUCGCAGGUUCAAGUCCUGCUAUACCCAAACAAACCUACCUUACACAAUACCUAUUCAUAAAUAAGGAUGCGUAGUAACGUUCAAAGAUCACUCUUUGGCCUUUAGACUCGCUUCAGCGACUUCGCCCUUUAAGUGAGAAGGGGGUGAGGUAAGGAGUAGUAUAAGAGUGGCUCGGUCAUCAAUAGGCCUCUCCUUAUUUUAUUCAUUCUAUAGGGCGGGGCUGCAGACCAACAAUCCAGCAAAAGGGCGAAAAAGUAGACCUAACAUUUCUUUUCUUACCCUUUAGAGUAAUGAUAGUCGUUCUCUAGCAACUAUGCUAGAGGGGAUGCAAGAUGUACUUUAUACUGGGUAGUGGCACAAGCAAUACAAAGACAACGGGCUGGUGCAAGUCACAACAGCAAACAGCUACUGAUAAUGCUUGAAAAUUCCCAUAAAAUGCCGUUCUACAGCAGUAUGUCAGAAGGUAAGAGCCGUCCUGAGACCUCUCAUGGCUGUAGUCAUAGUAUAAUAAUCACAUCCUCUAUCCCACCAUGGUAGUUACUACAGAAGAGAACAAUCAAAGAUAACAUAUAACUCUUCUGCGAAAUCAAAAAGGUAGGAACUCGGUAAGGAAAAGGAACGCUAAGCCUAUGUAUUACACUAAAAUUCCUAGUAAAAAUGAUUUAUCUCAAAAGUAGCAGUAGUUUCUUUUUGUUGUUCAGUAGGGAACUGGAAUUCAAGAUAGGGGGCUUUAGCCGAAACUGGUCUGUAAACUGGUAGUUCUUGUUCGCAAGCAAGCGGGCGGGUUUUGAGUUGGAUGUUCGAGCAAGCGUAGCCCACAGCAUUCUACGAUCUUCGUUCUAUUCUACGGCUACUUGAAAUCGUUAGGUUAGUCUCGGGUAUCCUGUUAACGUUACUGCGCUUUAACGACACCGUAGUGGCGGUUUUAAAGAUAGGAUAGCGAGGCCGCUAAGGGC
Molecule: non-coding RNA, 5835 nt
Organism: Lupinus albus (white lupine)
Lineage: Eukaryota; Viridiplantae; Streptophyta; Magnoliopsida; Fabales; Fabaceae
Source: the annotation of a GenBank genome assembly